Molecule: ribosomal RNA, 493 nt
Filed under: uncultured bacterium
Lineage: Bacteria
Description: partial 16S ribosomal RNA
Rfam family: Bacterial small subunit ribosomal RNA
Source: RNAcentral
AUUGAACGCUGGCGGCAUGCUUUACACAUGCAAGUUGAACGGUAACAGGUUAAGCUGACGAGUGGCGAACGGGUGAGUAAUGCAUCGGAACGUGCUCAGUCGUGGGGGAUAACGCAGCGAAAGCUGCGCUAAUACCGCAUACGAUCUGAGGAUGAAAGCGGGGGACCGUAAGGCCUCGCGCGAUCGGAGCGGCCGAUGUCAGAUUAGGUAGUUGGUGGGGUAAAGGCUCACCAAGCCAACGAUCUGUAGCUGGUCUGAGAGGACGACCAGCCACACUGGGACUGAGACACGGCCCAGACUCCUACGGGAGGCAGCAGUGGGGAAUUUUGGACAAUGGGCGAAAGCCUGAUCCAGCAAUGCCGCGUGCAGGAAGAAGGCCUUCGGGUUGUAAACUGCUUUUGUACGGAGCGAAAAGGUCUCCUCUAAUACAGGGGGCUCAUGACGGUACCGUAAGAAUAAGCACCGGCUAACUACGUGCCAGCAGCCGCUGUAA